This 456-nucleotide long non-coding RNA is filed under the name Elaeis guineensis (African oil palm). RNAcentral's name for it is "long non-coding RNA (EGUI_LNC007292)". Lineage: Eukaryota; Viridiplantae; Streptophyta; Magnoliopsida; Arecales; Arecaceae. The record is from RNAcentral.
CCCAAGUUUGACCAGUAGAAAAACUUCACAUUACCAUUUGAACGUAUUUAACAUUUUGUAUGGAUUAUUAAGCUUGAACUCUUCAAUACCAACUCUAGUUAAAUUUCUCGUUCCUCCUCUUACCAACUUUCAUUAUUUAUUUCUCCUCCUAAUGACCGCCUGGUUAGAAUAUAUAUCAUCCAACUACGUUUUAUUUCAUACAUGAUGUUGGCUCUAGUUCAUCUUAAUUUCUUCUUGGGCUUUAAUAUUGAAACAAAGACAGAAAAUGAAAACAAUAGCAAACGCGCCAUGGACAACAAUCACCAGUCACCUUCUCCACCGUUCUCACACACUCACCUCGGCGACCUAAUCAAGCCACCUUCCUCUCGGCCAUAGACUCAUGGAAGGUUCCAAAGCGUAGGGUGCCUGGGCCCGGAACCUCCAAACCGCCCAUGCCGUGUUCUCAAUGCACACUUU